This is a non-coding RNA of Prunus avium (sweet cherry), 449 nucleotides long. Lineage: Eukaryota; Viridiplantae; Streptophyta; Magnoliopsida; Rosales; Rosaceae. The record is from RefSeq and is a predicted model, not a curated record.
GGGGAUCGAACCCCCAACCACAUGGUUAAGGAAUGAGGUGAAGAAGAGCAAGAAAAGUUAUGAUUUCAAAUAUGGGUUCCUCAAUCAUUCAAAUCUAGGAUUUCAAACCAGAAAAAUUGAAUCAAAGUGGUGAAGAAGAACAAGAAAAGUCAUAACACCCAAAUUGGCUCUUCUUUCUUUUACAAUUCAUCCACAAAAGCUGAAAAAACUAACCCAAAAAAAUAGAGCAAAAGAAUCAGAAGAAUCUGCUGCCCCAAUGUCAGAAGAAUCAGAAGGUGAUAAAGGGGUCGAAUUCUACAGCGGCUGCACUCAGAGGCGGACCUACUAAGGCAUAAGGAGGUGCAGCUGCACCUCCCCUCGCCGGAAAAACCAUUGUAGGUGCUUGAAAUUGCCCCUUUACUCAACUGGUGUACAGAUUACCUUAUUUCCAUCUUCAACAUUUAAGUAAA